This 87-nucleotide transfer RNA is filed under the name Pseudomonas monteilii. Its description in RNAcentral is "tRNA-Ser". RNAcentral also lists the same sequence under 1 other name. Lineage: Bacteria; Pseudomonadati; Pseudomonadota; Gammaproteobacteria; Pseudomonadales; Pseudomonadaceae. The record is from RNAcentral.
GGACGCAUGAAUUGUGGUGUUAUCACACGGUCUUGAAAACCGUCGAUGGGCAACUAUCCUAGAGUUCGAAUCUCUACGCUUCCGCCA